RNAcentral lists this ribosomal RNA (784 nucleotides) under Lacticaseibacillus zeae. Its description in RNAcentral is "bacterial SSU rRNA". It matches the Rfam family "Bacterial small subunit ribosomal RNA", at positions 28 to 776 of the family's 1533-position model. The record is from RNAcentral. Lineage: Bacteria; Bacillati; Bacillota; Bacilli; Lactobacillales; Lactobacillaceae.
GAUGAACGCUGGCGGCGUGCAUAAUACAUGCAAGUCGAACGAGUUCUGAUUAUUGAAAGGUGCUUGCAUCUUGAUUUAAUUUUGAACGAGUGGCGGACGGGUGAGUAACACGUGGGUAACCUGCCCUUAAGUGGGGGAUAACAUUUGGAAACAGAUGCUAAUACCGCAUAAAUCCAAGAACCGCAUGGUUCUUGGCUGAAAGAUGGCGUAAGCUAUCGCUUUUGGAUGGACCCGCGGCGUAUUAGCUAGUUGGCGAGGUAACGGCUCACCAAGGCAAUGAUACGUAGCCGAACUGAGAGGUUGAUCGGCCACAUUGGGACUGAGACACGGCCCAAACUCCUACGGGAGGCAGCAGUAGGGAAUCUUCCACAAUGGACGCAAGUCUGAUGGAGCAACGCCGCGUGAGUGAAGAAGGCUUUCGGGUCGUAAAACUCUGUUGUUGGAGAAGAACGGUCGGCAGAGUAACUGUUGUCGGCGUGACGGUAUCCAACCAGAAAGCCACGGCUAACUACGUGCCAGCAGCCGCGGUAAUACGUAGGUGGCAAGCGUUAUCCGGAUUUAUUGGGCGUAAAGCGAGCGCAGGCGGUUUUUUAAGUCUGAUGUGAAAGCCCUCGGCUUAACCGAGGAAGUGCAUCGGAAACUGGGAAACUUGAGUGCAGAAGAGGACAGUGGAACUCCAUGUGUAGCGGUGAAAUGCGUAGAUAUAUGGAAGAACACCAGUGGCGAAGGCGGCUGUCUGGUCUGUAACUGACGCUGAGGCUCGAAAGCAUGGGUAGCGAACAGG